CUUGCAGUUAAGUUGAGCAAGCUUCAGUUGUACAGCUACAUCAGACGGAACGCAGCUGGACUGAAGAAGGAACUUGCAUAAAGAAGAGUGAACUUGAUAUCAUUAGUAUCAUUCUGAGUCACUUUUUUCUGACAUUCUGAUUUAAUAUAUGACUCUCUCCACCUAUUAAAGGUGUGUUUUUCUGACACAAACAUAUCCUUGUGUAGAAACUUCUUUCAAGCACCUCGAAGAAACUAUGUUCACUUCUGACUGUGAUGCCAAGAGCUUCUAAUGCCAACAGAAAAUUAAGAAAAGAUAUUUCUGCUCAGAGUAUGCAAAGGAUGAUAGGGUCAGGACCCAGCUGCCUGUGCUUGUGAAGCA
This 360-nucleotide long non-coding RNA is filed under the name Anser brachyrhynchus (Pink-footed goose). RNAcentral's name for it is "lncRNA (ENSABRG00000022421.1)". The record is from RNAcentral. Lineage: Eukaryota; Metazoa; Chordata; Aves; Anseriformes; Anatidae.